Nothoprocta perdicaria is the source of this 325-nucleotide long non-coding RNA. RefSeq lists it as uncharacterized. NCBI's taxonomy places the organism in Eukaryota, Metazoa, Chordata, Aves, Tinamiformes, Tinamidae. The transcript is spliced from 3 exons. The record is from RefSeq and is a predicted model, not a curated record.
AGGAGGAUGGACUCUUCAAAGCAAACAUGUCUGCAGGGGCGAGCGUCUUGACCAUCAAAGAUGAAUUUGCUGGUUUCUGAAACGCCUGAUUUGGGAACAAAACUGAACAUUCACCUGGGGCUGGCUGCCUAUGGUUAACUGGACGUGGCCGAGCGCGCUCGGAUUCCUGCUCCGAUGGUGUCGCGCCGAGCUCCUUAGCUGCAGUCAAAAGGCUGCCCAAGUCGGAGGAAAAGGAAUGCAGUGGUUGCCAGUAAUAGGAAAACUAUUAGGAACGCUAUUAGUAAUAGGAAAACCGAGUCCAGUGCUACGGUGCCCUCAAGAAACC